Molecule: ribosomal RNA, 200 nt
Filed under: uncultured bacterium
Lineage: Bacteria
Description: partial 16S ribosomal RNA
Rfam family: Bacterial small subunit ribosomal RNA
Source: RNAcentral
AGAGUUUGAUCCUGGCUCAGAUUGAACGCUGGCGGCAUGCCUUACACAUGCAAGUCGAACGGAUCUUUGGGGCUUGCUCCAAAGGUUAGUGGCGAACGGGUGAGUAAUGCAUCGGAACGUACCCAGUCGUGGGGGAUAACCAGCCGAAAGGCUGACUAAUACCGCAUACGUCCUGAGGGAGAAAGCGGGGGACUCGCAAG